RNAcentral lists this ribosomal RNA (462 nucleotides) under uncultured bacterium. RNAcentral describes it as "partial 16S ribosomal RNA". It matches the Rfam family "Bacterial small subunit ribosomal RNA", at positions 28 to 507 of the family's 1533-position model. The record is from RNAcentral.
GACGAACGCUGGCGGCGUGCUUAACACAUGCAAGUCGAGCGACGCUCUUCCUUCGGGGAGAUGACGGAGCGGCGAACGGGUGAGUAACACGUGGGCAACCUGCCCCUAGCUCUGGGACAACACCGGGAAACCGGUGCUAAUACCGGAUACGACAUCGAGCGGCAUCUCUCGAUGUGGAAAGUUUUUUCGGCUAGGGAUGGGCCCGCGGCCUAUCAGCUUGUUGGUGGGGUAAUGGCCCACCAAGGCGACGACGGGGAGCCGGCCGGAGAGGGCGACCGGCCACACGGGGACUGAGACACGGCCCAGACUCCUACGGGAGGCAGCAGUGGGGAAUAUUGCGCAAUGGGCGAAAGCCUGACGCAGCGACGCCGCGUGAGGGAUGACGGCCUUCGGGUUGUAAACCUCUUUCAGCAGGGACGAAUUCAGACGGUACCUGCAGAAGAAGCACCGGCCAACUACGUG